GUGCUUGCUUCAGCGGCACAUACACUAAAAUUGGAAUAGAAGAUUAGCGUUGCCCCUGUGCAAGGAUGGCACACAAAUUAGUGAAGUGUUUCUUUUUUUU
This 100-nucleotide small nuclear RNA is filed under the name Aotus nancymaae (Ma's night monkey). The record is from RNAcentral. Lineage: Eukaryota; Metazoa; Chordata; Mammalia; Primates; Aotidae.